UUCCCAAGGGGUUUGGGAUGUUCCCAAAAGGAUUGCCAGACCCCAGGGGCUGUUCCAGGGAACGCCCUCAUCCCAAAUCCAAGGCCUUGGGAGGAUCCUUGGGAUGAAUUCCAGAGGCUGCUCCAAGCCCCAUCCCACCUUUCCUGUGACAAUCCCAGAGAUUCCUGGGAAAACUCUGCCCGUCCCUCCCCCUUCCUCCUCCUCCUCCUCCCAGUUUUAUCCCUGAGCACAUCCAGGUGGGAAAUCCCUGGGAUGAGCUGGGAUUGGUUUUCAAUCCCCAUUUCCCAUCCCUGUGCCCAUUCCCAUCCCAGAUCCAAUCCCUGUUUCCCAUUCCCGUUCCCAUUCCCAUUUCCCAUUCCCGUUUCCCAUCUCCAUUUCUCAUUCCUGUUUCCCAUUCCCGUUCCAAUCCUCGUUCCCAUUCCCAUUUCCCAUUUCUGUUCCCAUUCCUGUUUCCCAUUCCCAUCCCCAUUUCCCGUUCCUAUCCCAGCUCCUUUCUGUGCUUCCUGGAAUUCCCCUCUGGAAUUGGGGCUGGAUCUGCGGGAUCUCCAUUUUUUAGGGAACAAACCCCUCCAGGGAACGGAGCCAAAAUUUGGGAAAACAUUGUGGGAUUGGAAUGAGCUUUCCUAAAAAUCUGGAUCAGGAACAGGUUCAGAGUUCAGAGCAUCCUGUGGGAAUCGUGGAAUAUUUUGGGCUGGGAAUUCUGACCAUUCCCAGUUCUGCCAAGGAUCCGCGACCCUGAAAUCCCCUGGGAUUUAAAUCCUGCAGGGAAUGGGGACUCCAGGGCUGAGAAUUCCACACAGGAUCCGUUCCCAAAAUCCAACUGAACUUUCCCAGGAAGUUUGAGGCCGUUCCCUCCUGUGGGUGAUUCCUGAGGAGCAGAUCCAGGAUUUCCCGUGGGAUCAGCAGAUCCCGAUCCCAGUGGGAUUUUCCACUUCCAGUGGAUCCCAGCAGGAUUGUCCAUGGGAUCAGCAGAUCCCAUUCCCAGUUGGAUUUUCCUGUAGGAUCAGCAGAUCCCAAUGCCUGUGGGAUUGUCCAUGGGAUCAGCAGACCCCGAUCCCAGUGGGAUUUCCCAUGGGAUCACCGGGAAUUGUCCCCGCAGAGCCCAGCCCUGUGUCCGUCACCAUCCCGGCCUCUCCCUUCAUGCAGAAGUUGGGAUUCGGCACCGGAGUCAGCGUCUACCUGAUGAAAAGGUUGGGAAUUGUUAUCCUGGGAAAUCCCGGAGGUGAUCCCGGUUUUCUUCUCCAUGGAUAUGGAGCCGAGCGAGGGAUUUGGGAAUUGUGGAGCUGAGAAGGAACGUGGAGUUUUGGGAUAACCCUGCCCCGGCUGGAAUUCUGGGAUUUGGGCUCCAUUCCUGGGAAUUCUGGAACUUGGGCUCCAUUAUUUUGGGAUAAUCUUGGCCCAGCUGGAAUUCCAGGGAUUUGGGCUCCAUUCUUGGGAAUUCCAAGAUUUUUGGGCUCCAUUGUUUUGAGAUAACCCUUUCCCAGCUGGAAUGCCAGGGCUUUGGGCUCCAUUCCUGGGAAUUCUGGGAUUUGGGCUCCAUUGUUUUGGGAUAACCCUGUCCUGGCUGGAAUUCAGGGAUAUUGGACGCCUUUAUUUUGGGAUA
This 1603-nucleotide long non-coding RNA is filed under the name Zonotrichia albicollis (white-throated sparrow). RNAcentral describes it as "lncRNA (ENSZALG00000004267.1)". Lineage: Eukaryota; Metazoa; Chordata; Aves; Passeriformes; Passerellidae. The record is from RNAcentral.